Molecule: ribosomal RNA, 787 nt
Filed under: Staphylococcus sp. Y9-MSE-E14
Lineage: Bacteria; Bacillati; Bacillota; Bacilli; Caryophanales; Staphylococcaceae
Description: bacterial SSU rRNA
Rfam family: Bacterial small subunit ribosomal RNA
Source: RNAcentral
UGCAAGUCGAGCGAACGGAUAAGGAGCUUGCUCCUUUGAAGUUAGCGGCGGACGGGUGAGUAACACGUGGGUAACCUACCUAUAAGACUGGGAUAACUUCGGGAAACCGGAGCUAAUACCGGAUAACAUUUAGAACCGCAUGGUUCUAAAGUGAAAGAUGGUUUUGCUAUCACUUAUAGAUGGACCCGCGCCGUAUUAGCUAGUUGGUAAGGUAACGGCUUACCAAGGCGACGAUACGUAGCCGACCUGAGAGGGUGAUCGGCCACACUGGAACUGAGACACGGUCCAGACUCCUACGGGAGGCAGCAGUAGGGAAUCUUCCGCAAUGGGCGAAAGCCUGACGGAGCAACGCCGCGUGAGUGAUGAAGGGUUUCGGCUCGUAAAACUCUGUUAUUAGGGAAGAACAAAUGUGUAAGUAACUGUGCACAUCUUGACGGUACCUAAUCAGAAAGCCACGGCUAACUACGUGCCAGCAGCCGCGGUAAUACGUAGGUGGCAAGCGUUAUCCGGAAUUAUUGGGCGUAAAGCGCGCGUAGGCGGUUUCUUAAGUCUGAUGUGAAAGCCCACGGCUCAACCGUGGAGGGUCAUUGGAAACUGGGAAACUUGAGUGCAGAAGAGGAAAGUGGAAUUCCAUGUGUAGCGGUGAAAUGCGCAGAGAUAUGGAGGAACACCAGUGGCGAAGGCGACUUUCUGGUCUGUAACUGACGCUGAUGUGCGAAAGCGUGCGGAUCAAACAGGAUUAGAUACCCUGGUAGUCCACGCCGUAAACGAUGAGUGCUAAGUGUUA